Molecule: ribosomal RNA, 251 nt
Filed under: uncultured bacterium
Lineage: Bacteria
Description: partial 16S ribosomal RNA
Rfam family: Bacterial small subunit ribosomal RNA
Source: RNAcentral
UACGGAGGAUGCAAGCGUUAUCCGGAAUGAUUGGGCGUAAAGCGUCCGCAAGUGGCUAUGUAAGUCUGCUGUUAAAGAGUCUAGCUCAACUAGAUAAGAGCAGUGGAAACUACAUGGCUAGAGUGCGUUCGGGGCAGAGGGAAUUCCUGGUGUAGCGGUGAAAUGCGCAGAUAUCAGGAGGAACACCAGUUGCGAAGGCAGGCUCUGGGACGUAACUGACGCUGGAGACGAGAACGUGGGGAGCAAACAGG